UUGAAAAAACCAUGUGUUGAUGCAUAUCUCUCUGCUAAUUAAAGUUUUCAUCUUCUACAAAGAACAAGGUAAAGCAAGAAAGCCAAGUAUCUUUCUUUCUCCGUCUCUGUGUGUUGUUAGUUACUUUUCCACUAUUUUAUUAGUAGCUAUUACCUCUUAUCAGUAUAGCUAUAAUUACUUCUUUCUCUAUAUUUUUUUCUAGUUGUUUAUCCCAUUUCAAAAAUUAAGUUCCAUUUUUUCCCUAGUUGUAUGUUGUGGUUGUUUGUUCCUUCUACUCUGAUUCUACUACUUGUGAGAUUGUUAUUUACUGCAUAUUAAAUAGAAGUGGAGGUUUUGAAGGGAUUGAGAACCAUGCUUAGAGAAUAGAGAGAAAUAAAGAUAAGUUAAAAUGAUUGCUUUUUGUUUUACCAUUAAUUACUGCACUUGAUGUUGUUAUUUGGCUGAAAAUCUCCGCUUAUGGGAGAAAACAUGUUGUCUCACACAGUAUAUGAGUAAUGAAUUCAUGUUAACGUUUCAUUUUGGUGUUGAGGUAGUCGAUUUUAGGAAUCAAUUAUUGGUUAAUUAAUUGCCUAUAAUAUAUGUUAUGGGGUUUUCUGAGCUUUAAAUUAAGGGUCCAUGCAAAUUUUCUGUCAACCUUUGAAGCCUUGAGUAUAUAUAUAAGAUGUAGUUUUCUGAUCUACCAAUAUAUAAACUUAUAAGUUUGGCGAUAAGCGUAUAUAAAAGAGAGUGUGUGUGUGGCUUAAUAAUAAUAAGAAUAAUAAUAAUCAUUCUCUUUCUACUUAGCAGCUGGAUUAAUGAAUAACAAGUGGGAUUUAUUACUCGAUGGCAAGGACUAUAAAGCCUGUAGUAGGGUGUUUCCCAGGAGUGAUCAAAGGGAAGAGAGGACAAUUUGAAGCAUUUCAGGUUAGCUUAUUUCCUUGUUUUCUUGUUUUUUUUUACCUGGUCAUGGUUCCUUUUCUGAAGAUUGUUGUUGGGUAAUUCAAAUUUAUUGAAAUUGGCCUAUGAAUUACGUAGACAUGCCAGUUUUUCGGUGGUUAAGUUUGCUGAGACAUGGAGCAAGAACCCUAUCUGAUUAGCUGUAACUAGAAAAUGAAAAUGACAUCCUUUAAUCGUUUUUACUCUCUUUGUAAUACAAUAACAACAACAAAACAACCAGUGUAAUCCCACAAGUGAGAUCUGGAGAGGGUAGUAUGUACGUAGACUUGGAGAGCAUAGUGUGUACGUAGUAGCAGGGGGUACUUCAUUAAAGGGUCGAAAAAUUACACUGCAUAUAUAUACAUAUAUAUACAUAUAUAUACAUAUAUAUAUAUACCGGGUGUCCGAGUCUUUAAGAGCUCCAACUAAUCUCAGGGGUGUACAGGCCCUCGGCAAGGAGUUUCCCGCAAGCGCAAGGAGUUUCCCGCAAGCGCAACAGGGUUAAUUCCGAAGGCCCUUAGAAAUUAUUUGCACCCACUGCGUUUCGAACUUGAGACCUUGAAAGGGAGCAAACCCCAAGGCUCAAGUCAAUUGCCACCAUGCCAACUCCUGAGGGUUACACUGCAUAUAUAGGUAAAAUAUAGGCUUUAUAGGUAUAUAACAUAUAUUGAACACUUUUUGUCGGAGAAUUUUGUUCACCUUUUCCAAGUUUGAACACACUUGAGGAAAUUUCUGGCUUCGGCACUGCGUAGUAUACCUUACCCCCACCUUGAAGGUAGAAAGGCUGUUUCCGAUAGAUUUUUCCUCCUUGUAAUAAUUAUAGAAGUUAAAACAAUCUGGACAGAAAGUAUGUUGCUGUUUAAAAAUUAUGUGGUAUUGCAUACUGAUUGCUGAGAAUCAUUGCCUCGUUGAAGAUUUUGAGACUUGGGUCUUGGAUCUUCACUAACUUUUUGCUUGAAGUCUGCAGUUUCUUGGGUGAUUCAUUGAAAAAGGAUAAUUAUCAUUAAUAAAAGGAAUCAUGAUUUGCAGUUGUCAAUCCAACAAAAUUCAGAAAAUGCUCUAUGCCCUAACCAACUACAAAAUUAAAGGUGGCAAGGGCUGUAAUUCCUUUUGCUGAUCCUUUUGUCAGCACAGUGUAGUUUCGUUUCUUUAUCCUUCCUCCUGUGAUGUGAUUCUUGUAUGUGAGACACUGUACAGUUAAUUCGUCGUCAUCUUGAAACACAGAUUAUGAUUAAUUAAUCCCAUCCUUUUGGUUUCACCGGUUAAGUCACCAGUGGACUGAGUUUGCCACCAUAGCUUCAUGUGAGGGCUGCGCUUACUCUUACUGGUUUUAGACGACUUACACCUCUUCGCAUAAACUCAAAUGCCAACAUAAACAAGCCAAAAAAGAACACCAAGAAUAUCUGGAGCCUUGCUACAAUGUCAACCAUGACAGACACAUUGCUUCCCUCGGGAGAACUUUUUCUUGUAGGUGGGGUUAUACUCCAUCCUGAUACAGACAAUCAACUAUUAGAGUGAUGCAACUUAACCAAUAAGCUUAAAACAAAUAACGGGACUUGUGAUUCAUGGAAGUAUUUUGUGUCGUUCGCGCUCGUUACCAUAUUACAUUGUCAUUACCAUUGUUUGCUACUUGGUUGUUUUAUCCUAUCUCCACUGUUCUUUGCGCCGAGCAUCUAUCGGAAACAACCUCUAUCUUUAUAAGGUAGGGGUAAGGUCUCUCCCCAGACCUCAUUUAUGGGAUUGCACUGGGUCGUUGUCAUUCUUGUUGUUGUUGUUAUUGUUGUUAGUGAUUCAUGGAAGUUUAUACAUCCUACAGAGACAUUUUCCCUCUAUCUCCCCCUAUUCCAAAUAGUCUAGUUCAUUAUGCAGCCUUUUUCUUGGAAGAGUAGGUAAGAAAACAGAUAUAAGUACUUACCGGUGCUUUUCUUGGGCAAAUUUGUCCAGUCAUACGGGCUAAUCUUACUUGAAGAUGCCUUGAUCAACUCAAGAAGUGCGUCAUUGACCUAAAAUUUUUAUAAUCGUCAUAUACUUCCAUUAACAAUUAGCAUACAUAUGACUCCAGCCACACAAAUGCCAAUAGAUUGGACAUAUCUAAAAUUUUGUAUAUGCUGAUAAUCGUCAUAUACUUUCCAUUAACAAUCAGCAUACAUAUGACUAAAGCCACACAAAUGCCAAUAGAUUGGACAUGUCUAAAAUUUUGUAUAUGCUGAUUGACUCAUAAAUAUUGAAGUGCAAUAUAAUAAUUUCAUUUGAUCAUGAUAUCCAUGUGAAUGUUUGAUUCUCCUAUUUAUUUUAUCUUUUUCAAGAACCGACAAGUUGUCUGCUGUCGAAACAUUCAUUGAUGUUCUGCAUGACACCACAGGCCCUAGCUCUGAAAACAAAAAUGAAAAGAGAAAUACCUGCUAGAUCUAAACAGUCUGCAUUGUAUAAAAUACCCUCUCACUUGCUAAAAAACCAAAAGCAAUAAAAAUACUCAGGUACCUGAACACUUGGAAUAAUUAUCAGAUUAUAGUGUCCAGUGUGCUUGAAAGGAUUCUAGUAUGCGUUGACCCAUUUUCAACCCGUUUAAACAUGGGUAGGUAGAGUAAGGUUUUGUUACGGGCGGGUUGGGGGGGGUUAAAGCAAUUUGGGUGAAAUUUGGUAUUUAUGUGGUGUUCACAGAUACAUUGCACAAAUCAUUUAAAGCCACAGGAGAGUACAAAAACUUUGAGAAUCUCAUAGGGUAUUAUGCAUUUCAAAAUGUUCUAUUAGUGACUCCACCAAAAGGUUGAUUUUGGCCUAUUAGUGACUCCGCCCAGUGCCAAGUCAUUGAUUUUUUACAGCGGCCAACUGAUCCUCAGAAUCACUAGAAAAUUGCAGAUCAAUAGUUCUUAGAUGAGACCCAUUCCCCCAGCUCUUUGGAGCAAAUUCACAAUAUAUUAUAUAGAAUCAGAUGCUUUCUUGACCUAUAUCUUAGUAUGCAACUUUUACCUGAUAUGCAGAGCACCUAUGGUUCUGUCACUAUUAGAAUAAUAGAUGCAUAUAAUAAUACCUCUUCUGUCCUUUCAUGACUAACGAGAUGUCCUCCAGGAAGCUCUACCAUUCUAGCAUACGGAUGUAAUUUCUUCGCAAGACUCUUCGCGUGGCUUAAUUGAGCAAUGACGUCGUCCCUACACAGAAGAAAUAUUGAUUUAAAAUCUGGAUAACCUUUCAAAAGAAACGGAUUUACAUCUAAACAAUAUUUCUGGCUGUUUGAGAUUGUAUCUGUAGUGGAUAAUGCCUUCAAAUUACAGAUGAAUAUACCUGCCAUGAAUAACAGAUAUGAGGAACCCAGCAGAGCAGAUAGAUUCAAGAUCAGCCCGCGAUAGCUUAUGAGUCCAGCAAGCAUUUAUCUGCCCAUCAAAUCCACAAUUUGACUGCAUCCCAGAUGCUGCUAUGCCUUUGAAGUAUUCCUGCCACCCAAAAAAAGACCCCAGUGAGCACCUUAGUAUUGUUUCUUGUAGAUUACAAGAUAAAAAGAUGCCCAAAGAAACAUCUAGAACAUAAUGUGCUUAGGUCACUCACUUGAUAUAAUAUUGCUCUUCGGGUUUUAGUUCCCACAUAUUCCUCGAGGUAUUCCUGUAAAGUAAAAAACACAGAUAUGUUAGUUACAAAUCAUUCCCUGGCCAUGAAAAAUGGUAUCUUAUUACAUCUUUAUAUCUAGUCAUGGUCAACCAACUCAAUCAGCAAUCUUAUAAAAAAUAAUGCACAUGAAACCGUGUUUAGACAUGGCAUGUUCAUGCAUCUUUUGAGAAGGAAGGAAGUGAAGCCUCUUAUUUGUCAACACUAUUAAAUGAACAAUUAAUCAACCUUUGAGUAGUGGGUGUCUAAAUCAACAGCAGCCCUCUGCUCAGGAGUUUUUGCCUUCAAAAAGCGGACUGCAAUAGAUAGAGUUUGACGAUCGAGCUGCAGCAAAAAAAGACCAUAUGAGCACGAGAAUAAACACAAUAACGCUUUCUUUGAUUCAAGUAUGCAAUGAGCAACAGGCAGAGGAGGCGUUGUGUUUUAAGGUACAACAUGAAUUUAGCUUGCAUCUAUUUAAUGCAAUUAUCAGAAUCAUUAAUUUUACAGGAUCUUACUCAACACAAUAAUUUAUUUUAGUUAUGCAAACAUGGUGACCAUUUCUUUAGUCUUCAGAUCAACUGCUUGACUCUACGAGCAUCCAGAAAAGUUGGUGGGACUAGGAAGUAUAUUGGAUGGCCGUACCACCUACCAAACUACCAAAGCAGCAGGUUGACAUGCAGCAUUUCACUGGAUUAAGGCGUUGAGUAUCUCCUGGGUCCUUCGAGAGCAUGAAGUAGAGGUAGAGUAGGAUUACCUAAUCUACAAAUAUAUACCAUAUUUCUGAUAUUUAUAUAUCUCAUUUGGAAGCAUGAGCAUGCAAGCUCCGACUUUCCUCGCAUGUGGGAUUGCUACUACAAUACUGUAGUUGUAAGCGUUUGCAUCUUGAUAUUUCUACAUCUCAUUAUAAUUAAUUCAAUUGCAGGGGGAAAUCAAGUGAAUAUAUGCUACUGAUUGUUACCAUAAAAACCAGCCCUCCCUCCCGCCNNNNNNNNNNNNNNNNNNNNNNNNNNNNNNNNNNNNNNNNNNNNNNNNNNNNNNNNNNNNNNNNNNNNNNNNNNNNNNNNNNNNNNNNNNNNNNNNNNNNNNNNNNNNNNNNNNNNNNNNNNNNCCGCCCUCCCUCACACGCAUACACACGUGAACACAAACGAUUGGACAAGACAAGAAUAUUCCACAAAAAGUGAAAUCUGUGGUUUUUCCUAUUGAAAUUGUAUAAAAUGCCAAUGUUCCACUAUGCCACAUGUUCUUUUUUUUUUUAAUGACAGUGGUGUCUGGGGCAGCUUCGGCGCACUUCGGCUACUCCGCUGGGUACGUGCUGCCUCCCACCAACACAGAUACCAGGUAACUCUGCCACCAAGCCUUGGGCAGAUGAAGAAAUCACCUAGAGUUUUUAGCCUCCACUGGGAUUUGAACUUGAGACCUCAUGGUUCUCCUCCGGCUUCAUUAACCACUAGGCCACACCCUUGGGUGCCCUUUAUGCAACAUAGAGAUAGAUACAUUCUUUAAGAUUUAUGUACCACACCUUAUUCUUAUUAUUAUGUAUAGUGUUUGGAUAAGUAUGUACAGGAGCCACCUUAUAAGCACCAAAAUAACUGUGUAUCAUGACAUAAGCAUCAUCCAGCAGUAAAUCAUGAGACAAUUGGUGACGCCGUCGUGCAUUUACAGCUAGUUUGUAAAUGUUAGGAGCAACUAUUAUGUAAGAAGUUCGAGUCUGUGCCUUACAAUUCAUGCUAGUAAAGCUCAGUCGUGUUCAAGUCUACAUGAUGAUUUGCCUAGUGCAAACAGGACUUCAGGAUAGUGCAGGUGUUAUAGAAUUUCCUUUUUCAAUUUGAUCAUGUUUCUUAUUUCAGGGAUAAAAUUGAAUUAUUCCGAGAAAAAGAAUCAAACAAAGAUAAAAUUGCAUUAGGAGCUCCACGUUCUUGUUUAAGCAAGUUUAGAGCAUCACUGCACCAGAAGUCCAACCAAAAAGUAUCUUUUAGAGUACAUACAAGCAACAUAGAAGAGAAUAAGACAAAGGCAUCCACAUGUAUUCCCCCCAGAGAGAAAAUUCUUUCUGUGGUUGGUUCAAUACCCACAUACCAAUUUCAUUAAAAGCCAGUACUUGGCCGGCCUAAACCAAUGAAGCUGUGCAAAGCGAGAGGUUAUUGCUUCCUGGGUCAAGUCAUGCAUUUCAAAGAAGUUUGCGCGCCAAACAUUGACUCGCCAAGCGAUCCCAACAAGAAGUAGCAGGCUUUUGGAUCUCAACUUUAGAGAGAUAGAUUAAUAUAGACAUUAUUGUACACUUGGAUGCUGAAAUGUUAUUUUAGUAGCAAUUCAAUUAUUAUAGUAAUACAUUCAUACCAUAUGUUUAUAUCUUUAAACAUUUCGUACAUUGUACAUUCCAUUUCAAAAAAAGCGUGUGCUUGAAUUCUCGCUUUUCGGUUCAAAUGGGCCUGCCGCAUACUAUUCCUGGAAUUAUCUUGACGACCACUAUAGACAAGGUUAGCAUUUCUCUAUUUUAUCGUCACUACGCUACUGUGAUUGAAAUGAAAGUGUUCGUGAAAUAAAUUGUGAAAGGAAAUGGAUAAGCUAGGAGGAAAAGAACACUGGUCAGAUACACUGUCCUCUCUGGUCAGAACAACAUAGGGGUUCUUCACUCAGAUAGAGGGGAAUCGAUGAUGUCAAAUGUGGAAGCCAAGGAAAAGAAAAAGGUUUUAUUUUGACAAAGCUUUGGCCCUGACUAGUUUGCAGUGUGCAAAUUCCACCUUGCUACUUCCAUAACACGAUCAUUAAUGAGGGGCUGGCAAUGCUAAAGAAGACCAAAAUAGGAUGUUCUUUAUUUCUACAUUCAGGUAUAUCCAUAUCAUUUAACUCUUGAACAAUUUGCUCAGUGACCGAUAAUUGAAGAGAAGAUCUUACCCUG
RNAcentral lists this long non-coding RNA (7396 nucleotides) under Nicotiana benthamiana. RNAcentral describes it as "long non-coding RNA (NBEN_LNC033202)". The record is from RNAcentral. Lineage: Eukaryota; Viridiplantae; Streptophyta; Magnoliopsida; Solanales; Solanaceae.